Long non-coding RNA from Pipistrellus kuhlii (Kuhl's pipistrelle), 2446 nucleotides. RefSeq lists it as uncharacterized. The transcript is spliced from 2 exons. Lineage: Eukaryota; Metazoa; Chordata; Mammalia; Chiroptera; Vespertilionidae. The record is from RefSeq and is a predicted model, not a curated record.
GCCACAUACUUUUUUUAAUUUUAAGAAUUUGCAAGAGAGAUGAAUGGCUAGAUCAGAUUUUUUUAAAUUAAAAAAUUUAAAAAAUGUUCUCAGCAUUUAACAUAGUUCACCAAUAUGUUUAUCAAUGCUGACUAUCUCCUUGAAGUCAUGAGAGUAUUUAAUAUAUAAUAAAUACAGUGAUGUAGUAUAUUUUAAACUUUAGGUGUAAAGCAAGUGCCUAUCAAAUAUUGACUCAGAGACUUGCUUGUAAUUUAAAUACUGACCUUAACUUUUAGUCAGAUUUUUAGGGCUAAAAUCACCCUUAAGAUUUUCUGGAUGAGGUUCCUGAGGUUUUAACCUAUCAUAAUGUUAGAAAGUUUUUAGAAAGGAAGGCAGAGUGAACAUGUUGUCUCUUUUUUGUCUCUUAUAUUCUUGGUUUCCUCUUAUUGCUUGUUUAGUUUUGUCAUUGUUUCUGUCAAAGAAAAAAAGAACUCCACAGAUGUGAAUUGUAUGUCUGUUUCAGGUAAACCUAUUGAUAAACUUAAAGUAAAUAAAAAUAGGAUCUUUAAUUUGGUAAAUUAUUUUUCCUCUUGCUACGUGUUCUCACAUAUUGAAAAUUAUUCACCCAAAUUGUUGCUAUCUUUACAAAUUAUAGGAUUACAAGGAGGCAAAUAUGUUUAACUUGAUUUUAGUUUUUGUAGGUUUUAAGAUGAAAAAACCUUAUUAAACUAUGUAAUGAGUUCAAAUCUCUCCCAAGUUAGGAAAAAAUGAGGAAAGGAAAGGAAGUAAUUACCAUGCAAGGUGACAACAGGAACUAGCAGGAGGGGGUGGUGUGGAUGAAAAGGCGUGGGGGCCGGGCACACGCAAGGCCCAGGUCAGGCCUGGGAACUGGUUACACUGGUAUUAACACAGGAUGAUUAAUUUGCUUUGUAGUUAACCAUUAUAUUGUGUUAUUUGUUUCAUACAUGUUCAUGUAUGUGAUUAUAGUUCACCAAAGGAGUUUUUUAAAAUUCUUUUUGUAUUCCUUGGCUUCAAAACCCACACAUUAUAAACAGACACGAUAGGAAUACCAUCUCCCACCACCCACCUCCCCUUCCCAUUCUGUCCUUAGCUUGUGUAGGGCUCCCUCUCAAAGACCUUGGAGGCUGUUGAGAAGCUGUAGGAGGACGUGAACUGGCAUCUAGUUAGUGCUUCUUAUGCCCUGCAUGUCAUGCCAUUCGUAUAAAGUACUGCAUAUGUGUUAUGGUAUGUGUUGAAUGUUACAAGUAAACAAACGAAAGCUCAUACAGAGUGAUGUUUGUCCCUGGUUGCAUGGCUGGUGAAAUCUAAGCUAGUGUUAAGAUCCUUGUGACUUCAGAGGCCUGUUCUUGAGCCGUGCUCCACUGUGUCCACGUGUUCCACACAUGUUCAGAAUGGCCUCAAAGCAGUCAGAUUGUCUUAGCAAUGCCAAGUACCGUGAAGAGCUUUCCUGCCAUAAAAUAAACCUUUCUCAGAAUAUUUUUAGAACAUGUUAUACAGCCUUAAUUUCAGCAUUUAGAGAUUUAUUUUUGUCUGCAAGCCACUACUUUAUGAAUCCUUGUUCCCCAAACCUUAACCACUAUUUUGAGGUCUAGGUUAAGCAAUAAUAGAGUUGAAGUAGGCGAACUAGGUAUCUUUGUAAUGGCCUGAGAGCCAGACCUUUAUUUGGAACAUCAUAACCUAGAGCCCAAACUCUCAUUUAAAGCAACUACCUGGCAAAUACGAUUUUGAGAGUUGGUCCCCAGGUGAAUAACUUGUCUGUGUAAAUACAUAAUAAAGUUUAAAGCUCUAGAGCAGUAGUAUUCUUUAAGCAUACAGCAAAAGUGCUGGAGAUUCAUGCACGUGCACUCACCCACACACACAGCGUGUGUACAGUCACGUGCACGUUGCAGGCAGAUGAAGCCUGUUAGCACACACCGAGGGUGAGAGUUCAUGAACUACAGUGUGUGCACACAUAAGCAUGCCCAUCUUGGGGACUACGGUGGCAUUGACAUUUGACUUAAAGUAAUGUGUCUUCAUGGCAGCUGCCUAAUGAUUGGAAAAAUGACUGGUGGACUGAAUUUACCCACUGUCAGAAGUUCCUCUUUCUAAAAGUGUUUUUGAAAGUAUAAUCCACAGGAUGUAUUAAGAAUUAAAAGUGGUCUGCUAUUAAGUCAGUUUAAGAACAUUGGAUUACAUGGAGGAGAAGUCAAUUUUCUACUACAGAACCUUUUAGAGGCUUUUCCAUGCUCAUAAGCAUUGUUACUCUCCAGAAGCAAGUCUACAGCGAGUAGCCUUUCUCACCGCUCACUCUGGAAAUUUCUACCAAGUAUCCCAAGGUCUGAUAGACAAAAUGCAAAACUAGAGACUAUUACCAUGACGGUGUCUCCAGAAUGGGGCUGGGGUUUCUCAGGAAUGUUUUGAUUGGAGAUGGGGUAGGCUAAAGAUCAAUGGUAUUGAAAUUUACCCC